This 625-nucleotide ribosomal RNA is filed under the name uncultured bacterium. Its description in RNAcentral is "bacterial SSU rRNA". It matches the Rfam family "Bacterial small subunit ribosomal RNA", at positions 167 to 810 of the family's 1533-position model. The record is from RNAcentral.
UACCGCAUAAGCGCACAGAAUCGCAUGAUUGGGUGUGAAAAACUCCGGUGGUAUGAGAUGGACCCGCGUCUGAUUAGCUAGUUGGUGGGGUAAAGGCCUACCAAGGCGGCGAUCAGUAGCCGACCUGAGAGGGUGAUCGGCCACAUUGGGACUGAGACACGGCCCAAACUCCUACGGGAGGCAGCAGUGGGGAAUAUUGCACAAUGGGGGAAACCCUGAUGCAGCAACGCCGCGUGAGUGAAGAAGUAUUUCGGUAUGUAAAGCUCUAUCAGCAGGGAAGAAGAUGACGGUACCUGAUUAAGAAGCCCCGGCUAACUACGUGCCAGCAGCCGCGGUAAUACAUAGGGGGCAAGCGUUAUCCGGAUUUACUGGGUGUAAAGGGAGCGUAGACGGCAUAGCAAGUCUGAAGUGAAAGCCCAAGGCUCAACCACGGGACUGCUUUGGAAACUGUUAAGCUAGAGUGCUGGAGAGGUAAGCGGAAUUCCUAGUGUAGCGGUGAAAUGCGUAGAUAUUAGGAAGAACACCAGUGGCGAAGGCGGCUUACUGGACAGUAACUGACGUUGAGGCUCGAAAGCGUGGGGAGCAAACAGGAUUAGAUACCCUGGUAGUCCACGCCGUAAACGAU